Salvia miltiorrhiza (redroot sage) is the source of this 810-nucleotide long non-coding RNA. RefSeq lists it as uncharacterized. The record is from RefSeq and is a predicted model, not a curated record. NCBI's taxonomy places the organism in Eukaryota, Viridiplantae, Streptophyta, Magnoliopsida, Lamiales, Lamiaceae. The transcript has 2 exons.
UUCUUGAUUUUCUAUCUCUGCCCACUUCUAGCUUGAAGAAAUUUUGAAGUUUAGAGUUUCGAAAAUUUAGGGAUUUCAUGCUAGGGUUGAAGUAUGAUCUUAAUAUUGAGAUAUAUUAUAUUUUUGAUGUUCAUAAGCAUGAUUAUGGUGCUUAAUUGCGUAAAUUCUCACUGGAUUUUAAUUUUGCUCAAGAACCCUAGGAUGUGAAAUUGAGUUUGUUAGUUCAAUGGAAAUUAGGGCUUUUGAGUUAAGAAGGUUUAUAUGCUAUUAAUUGAUGGAUAUAGAUAUAUUAUGAUGUGAUUUUAUCAAAUAUGGAAAUUAGAACAGCCCUAAUGUAUGGAAAAUUGUUAUAAGAAUUGUUAUGUUGUAACUUGUUGGCUUUGUUGUGUUAAACAUGAGUUAAGUUUGAAGUUAAAGCAUUCUAGUAGGUAUUAUGAUCAUGUAUUUGAGUCUCUACACAUUUUAUUUGGCCAAGUAUGAGUUAUAUGUUGAAUUGAAACAAAGGAUGCAUUGCUGUCAAUUUUUAGCUUGACAAAACAGUGUCUUGCGGGAUGAUUUUGAUGAUGUUCCCAUAGCCCAAAUAACUUGAAAAUUUUACUGUAGUAACUUCAUUAUGAGUAUUAGAUUUCUGCAAAAGUUCAGUCAAAUCCGACAUAUUUAGACAUGUCAAACUAUUUUCUGAAAAGUACUGCACGAAGCAGCAAAGUUCAGUGGCAGAUUUUGCCUUUUGUGAUAUAAUUUCUUAUACACUUGAGAUAUUGCAUUUUUGUAAAUUUUCAUUAAAAAUAGACUUUAAGAGCUUUCUAAAAA